Molecule: ribosomal RNA, 396 nt
Filed under: uncultured bacterium
Lineage: Bacteria
Description: bacterial SSU rRNA
Rfam family: Bacterial small subunit ribosomal RNA
Source: RNAcentral
AGCGAACGCUGGCGGCAGGCUUAACACAUGCAAGUCGAGCGGGCGUAGCAAUACGUCAGCGGCAGACGGGUGAGUAACGCGUGGGAACGUACCUUUUGGUUCGGAACAACCCAGGGAAACUUGGGCUAAUACCGGAUAAGCCCUUACGGGAAGAUUUAUCGCCGAAAGAUCGGCCCGCGUCUGAUUAGCUAGUUGGUGAGGUAACGGCUCACCAAGGCGACGAUCAGUAGCUGGUCUGAGAGGAUGAUCAGCCACAUUGGGACUGAGACACGGCCCAAACUCCUACGGGAGGCAGCAGUGGGGAAUAUUGGACAAUGGGCGCAAGCCUGAUCCAGCCAUGCCGCGUGAGUGAUGAAGGCCCUAGGGUUGUAAAGCUCUUUUGUGCGGGAAGAUAAU